This 207-nucleotide ribosomal RNA is filed under the name uncultured bacterium. RNAcentral describes it as "partial 16S ribosomal RNA". It matches the Rfam family "Bacterial small subunit ribosomal RNA", at positions 568 to 774 of the family's 1533-position model. The record is from RNAcentral.
CGCGUAGGUGGUUUGUUAAGUUGGAUGUGAAAGCCCCGGGCUCAACCUGGGAACUGCAUCCAAAACUGGCAAGCUAGAGUACGGUAGAGGGUGGUGGAAUUUCCUGUGUAGCGGUGAAAUGCGUAGAUAUAGGAAGGAACACCAGUGGCGAAGGCGACCACCUGGACUGAUACUGACACUGAGGUGCGAAAGCAUGGGGAGCGAACA